UGACCUGUGGCUGUUUGCAGGCUGGUGGUGGUCGACGUGGCCUUCUACACGGAGAACAUCCAGGCGCUGAAGAGCCUCGAGCGACUCGACCUGAACAUGGCUGAGAUCUGGGAGCAGAAGAGGUGAUGUAGGACGGAGUCUGGACGUCAUGGACUGACCGACCCGGCGACGGGGGCCGACCUCAGGGGCCGAUGGCGGCCGGCUGACAGUGGAGGAGGCCCAGAGGGACCAAAACUACAAAACUGGGAGAAGAGCAGCAGCAGCAUGCCAGAACUCCAACAGCUUCAACGACUUGAUAAAGUUCCACACAGAGCCUCCUAAAAACUGCUGCCACCUCAUCUCACUGUGUGCAAUCGGACAGAAAUACUAGUAAAUUAUUAGACAGUUUUAUUGCAGCACACUGCAGGGUGUGGAAGAUGUUGAAGACAUGGAGGGGUAAUUUAUUUUUCUGACUUCUGGAGAAACAUUCUAUACUGUGGCAGACUUUUCUUUUUCCUUGGGCCCGGGAUGUUGAGGCUGAAAGGAUUUUUAUCGCCAACACUGAAAAUGAGCUUUUAUGUCACUGAUUUUGUGGACUUCAGGGAAACUUCACAGCUGAAGAUAGAAAGUUCAGGGGAUAAAAUGAUUCAGUCUGAAAAGAUGAUUUUCCUCUUCACUGCUCCAAACAAAUCUACAGGGUUCCUGUUUCCCAAAUCACUCUGAUCAGCUGCACACAACACGGACAUUUUUAUACUCAGAACAAGGAUUUUUUUCCAGACUUGUUGUGUUGAACCCUGGAGGAGGAUGAACCCUGGAGGAGGAGGAACCCUGGAGGAGCAGCAGCUGGGAGAAAUGUCUCACUGAAGAGUUGAAUUCCUGUAAAAUUUGAAAUAAACCAAUCAGCUCUCAGCUACAUCCUGAUGUUGCCAAAGUGAAGUGGUUUCUAAUCUAGGAAUUCAACUCUUCUGAUCCAUUUCCCUCCUCAACAGUCAAUCAUGCUUCAGGUCUCCUUCAGGCUCAGUCUUUGUGAUGAAUCAGAAGAUAAUUUUAAUAUCAGUGAAGAGAGUUUGCAGAAUGUGAAGCAUGAAUAUCAGCUGUUGUUCCUUCUGCUGUGGUUUGAUUUCAUGUGCAUGAGCUUUUAGUUUCGUCCGAGGCUGAAACAACAGAACAGAACAGAAAAUCUGAUUUAUUUUUACUUCAUUAAUGUCUAAAUGGAAUAAUCCCAGGACAUGUGAAGAAAAAGCUGCAAGGAUCAAACAUCCAAACUGGUCAAAUUGGUUUUAAAACAGGCUUUUCAAAGACAGACACGGAUAAAACGGAGUGUUGCAGUUCAGUUGUCUUCAGAUUAGACAGUAUUCUAACACUUAUGAGCUUGUGAUUGGCAUUCUAACUUUAUAAAUUUGCACAAAAUUAAGUUUUUGAAUCCACUUUCCUUCUACAGUGUUGUGCUGUUUCCACUGAGGUGCAGGACUUUAUAUUGACACCGUUAAACUGUUUGGAGUUCAGAGAGUUAACCUGCAUCCCUUCCUCUUUCUCUACUGAUUGGGACUCGUUCACAGCUCUCCUCCUGUUCUCCACACUGCAGGUUUCUUCAAACAUUAGAUUUUCUCUUCCGACCUGAAGUUCAGCCGCUCUGAGCUCCGACCAGACAAAAAGAAAAAAACAGAUGCGUUCACGUCCGUCUCUGCUCCAGUGUGAGCACUACAGGCUGGAGGUGGUUCUGUUCCAACAUCUGACUUCCACCAGACAGCUGCUCUCCUGGUUUGUGUUUUUAUAUUACAGAGAUUUUAACCAGAGAAUAGCUGCUUGUUUUUUCAGAUGUUGUUAUGGAAAAGUGCUAAAUCAUCCCUAAUUAGUAUCCCGACAUAACGGAUAAAUCAAAUGACCGCGGCCAGAGACGCAGGUUGAAGUGAGUAAAGUGAGUGGAGGUGUGACGUGACGCAGCUGAACAAAACCAUGAAUGAUCAUCACUGUCUGCUUCAGAAGUGCCUACUGUUGAUCGACUGUCAGACGACACAUCUGAGCUCUACAGUGUGCCUACCUACCACUGUGUGAGUGUGUGAGAGAGAGAGGGAGUGUGAAUGAGUUUGGGUGAGCUGGGCAGUGUGUGUGUGUGUCUCCAAAAUAUGUUGAAUCCUUAAAACCUGCUGUGAAUAAAACAGGAUGACGGAGCGACUCGUCUGUUUGUCGGCUGCUGGGUAAGCAAAUCGAGCGCACCGUCUCUACAACCUGCAAUAAUCUGUGUACGGGGCUCCGCACCCUACGUGAUGUUCCUAAAGAGCUGCAGCCCUGCACACAUAUCAGGACACUUUUCAAGAACAGCUGAGAGGUGUAGGCUACUACUAAGCGAGAGGUCAACUAUGGAUACUCGGCUGUGAGAAUUUUUGAUGGAGCGAAACUUGAAGAUGAGAAUAUGCACAAUGAGGGACGUCUGCAGAGACUGAGAAAGAGUCUCACCACAUCCUGACAUGAGGAAAAAGACUUUAUUGAAGACUACAAUGAGAAAAACUAUCAGACAGCAGACGGCUGCAUUCAAGUCUGUAGCUGCUGAAUUCAUGGAUGAAUCAUCUGGCACUAGAGAAGAAGACCAUCAAACAUCCACAUCAGCUGAUGGAGGUCCAAGAGUCUCACCAAACAACCAACCUACAGAGUGAAGACCUCGAAUCUGAUUGGACGGCCUCCUAUUCAGCCACAUGUGUGAACAAAUGCCUCUAAGUUGAUUUGUUUUCUAAAAUAAAUCUAGUUUGAGUCCUAA
Molecule: long non-coding RNA, 2734 nt
Organism: Amphiprion ocellaris (clown anemonefish)
Lineage: Eukaryota; Metazoa; Chordata; Actinopteri; Pomacentridae
Exons: 6
Source: RefSeq, a predicted model, not a curated record